RNAcentral lists this non-coding RNA (96 nucleotides) under Candidatus Dwaynesavagella gallinarum. RNAcentral's name for it is "TPP riboswitch (THI element)". It matches the Rfam family "TPP riboswitch aptamer (THI element)", at positions 6 to 98 of the family's 105-position model. Rfam says of the family: Vitamin B(1) in its active form thiamin pyrophosphate (TPP) is an essential coenzyme that is synthesised by coupling of pyrimidine and thiazole moieties in bacteria. Lineage: Bacteria; Bacillati; Bacillota; Clostridia; Eubacteriales; Clostridiaceae. The record is from RNAcentral.
UUUUGCUAGGGGUGCUUUAGAGCUGAGAGAUGAAAUUUUUAUUUCAUUAACCCUUAUACCUGAACUGGAUAAUGCCAGCGUAGGAAAGCUAUUAAU